RNAcentral lists this ribosomal RNA (253 nucleotides) under uncultured bacterium. Its description in RNAcentral is "partial 16S ribosomal RNA". It matches the Rfam family "Bacterial small subunit ribosomal RNA", at positions 524 to 776 of the family's 1533-position model. The record is from RNAcentral.
UACGUAGGGUGCGAGCGUUGUCCGGAUUUAUUGGGCGUAAAGCGCGCGCAGGUGGUGCGGUAAGUCUGUCGUGAAAUCUCCCGGCUCAACUGGGAGGGUGCGGUGGAGACUGCCGGACUAGAGGCACUCAGAGGCCGGUGGAAUUCCCGGUGUAGUGGUGAAAUGCGCAGAUAUCGGGAGGAACACCGGUGGCGAAGGCGGUUCUCUGGGCCUUACCUGACGCUGAGGAGCGAAAGCGUGGGGAGCGAACAGG